RNAcentral lists this ribosomal RNA (425 nucleotides) under uncultured bacterium. RNAcentral's name for it is "partial 16S ribosomal RNA". It matches the Rfam family "Bacterial small subunit ribosomal RNA", at positions 354 to 796 of the family's 1533-position model. The record is from RNAcentral.
GUGGGGAAUAUUGGACAAUGGGCGCAAGCCUGAUCCAGCCAUGCCGCGUGAGUGAUGAAGGCCCUAGGGUUGUAAAGCUCUUUCACCGGUGAAGAUAAUGACGGUAACCGGAGAAGAAGCCCCGGCUAACUUCGUGCCAGCAGCCGCGGUAAUACGAAGGGGGCUAGCGUUGUUCGGAAUUACUGGGCGUAAAGCGCACGUAGUCGGGUAUUUAAGUCAGGGGUGAAAUCCCGGAGCUCAACUCCGGAACUGCCUUUGAUACUGGGUACCUAGAGUAUGGAAGAGGUAAGUGGAAUUCCGGGUGUAGAGGUGAAAUUCGUAGAUAUUCGGAGGAACACCAGUGGCGAAGGCGGCUUACUGGUCCAUUACUGACGCUGAGGUGCGAAAGCGUGGGGAGCAAACAGGAUUAGAUACCCUAGUAGUCC